Long non-coding RNA from Megalopta genalis, 2446 nucleotides. RefSeq lists it as uncharacterized. The record is from RefSeq and is a predicted model, not a curated record. NCBI's taxonomy places the organism in Eukaryota, Metazoa, Arthropoda, Insecta, Hymenoptera, Halictidae.
GUUUAAUUAAUUACUGUCUUGAUUGCAGGAGAUUAUGGAACUUGGUGGCGUUCCAGACAACGUACAACGAGAAGGAACAGAAAUUCAAUGAAAGAGAAGCGUAAGGAGUAGGAUAAGGAUGCUGAGGCGAUCAGUAACUUAACACUGGCAAGGCGCAGGCAUUUCCCGCGUUAUCAGCGCUCUGUACAAGGAAACGCCGCGGACCUGUACGGACCUGUACGGUUGGCCGUAUGCCAUGGCGGUGAAUACCGGCCGAUGUUACAAUGUGUUCGAGAGAGAAAUGAAGUGAAAAGCGGAUAGCAGACGGGGGUGAGAGGAAAACUCGAGGGAAUGGAACAAAAAAAGAGCCGGAGUACAUACUAGCCCGAGUAGCGAGCCGCGGAUUAAUGACUAAAUGAGUCAAGUUGCGUCAUAGUACGCGCCAAUAAUAAAUGGGUCGCCAUGUUGGUUCUUCUGGGUGCUGCGUGUAGCAUAAGAGGAUGACCCUUCUAAGAUCGUUGACGAUUAAAUAAUUUGUGAUUCUCUUAAGAGAGGGGGAAUCAGUGCCGGCAAAGGAUGCUCGACGGGUGCAAACGGUCGAUUAAAAGAAAAAUCAGGAUCGCGUGCGUGCGCGGUGGCGAUGAAUAAUUGGAUAUUUGGUCCGGGGGCUGUCGUGCGGGCCGAAUUCGUAGAAGAGGAGCGCGUCCUGCGCGAAAUACAGAGAGAGACGCGGUAACGAGGGAAGAAACGAACUCGAAUGAAAUGAAGUUGUUUGUUUCAAAUCACUUCCAGCAUUCCGGGUCUACAUUAAGAAAUGUGAUCAGCUUGAAUUGUUUUAUGCACGAUGUAUGCACAUUUUAAUCGAACUAUGAAUUCUACGAGAACGACGAGUAGCUGUGACGUCGAACGUCAGUAGAAAGACUAUAGGAGUCGAAAAACAAGACUGCUGAAAUUGCCGAAGGAAGGAGGAAAUUCUCAAGUAGCUACCGGAGCCUUGCAACAGAUGCAGGAAACUUCUACUUUGCAUAAUGAUCCGGAGCCCAGCAAUUCCAGCGGAAAGAUGACCUUUUACAUUCAUUAUAAACCGUGAUCGUCAUCUUCCUGUCAGCUUCUUGCAAAAUAAGGCGUUAACGUCCAGUCGCGAAAGUGUCGUUUUGAUUUUUUCGUUUUUUUUUUUUUUUUUGAAAAAUCCUCGCGACACGAAACUGUUCUCGAACGGUUGAUCGAGGAACGGUGUCUCGUAGGUGUCCAUCGCUACCGAUUGCUCUCGUCGAGAAGACGCCGACGACGCAGAAAUCGAUCGGCUGGAGGGGGGAGGGCAGGCCAGAGCGGGGUGUUCAUAGGAAAGAAAAAGGGAGAAAUUGAUCGGCCACGGUGUGCGUGGCCGGCUCGUUACAAAAUACUCGAUACUCACGGGAGGUCGGCUUUCGUUCGAAACGGCUCUAUCUUCAUGCGAAACCAGAGAGCCGGGUGGCUACGCGACCAUAAAUGGGUGAUGUACGAUGUAACGAUCUCUUCACUCUCUCGUCCCGACAUCACAAUUAGCCAUCUACGUAGACACGGCUACGAACUAACAAACCGAACGAACAAACUGUCGCCGCUCGGUCCGGCUGCCGUUCACCGAGGAAUUGCGUUCGUUCAAUUAACGACAGACUCGAUUAACCGUACCCACCGCUCCCCCCCCCUCUCUCUCUCUCUCUCUCUCUCCGUUCUCUUCCCAUGGCGAACAGGCUGACCAGCACGAAUAUAAAUUAGCGACUUCAAUCGAUUGUUUGCCCCGGGGCCCGGAGUGAUCGGGGAAGUGUCCCGGCCCGCGGAUCCGGAAAACCCUGCGGAACGAGGAUACCGUCGGUUCACGCACGUUUUUUUUCCAACGAUUUAGCGCUCGUAGAUCACAAGAUUUCUCGUUUGCAAACGGUACAAUGUGUCGAGCUGUUUUUUUGAGGGAUUAAGAAGUUGCGAAACCGUGCGUUCCCGAUUCCGGGAGAGCGCGCGGAUUCGAGAGAGCUCGCCGAGAGACUUUUAGUCCGCUGGACGCAUCAAUUUUUGAUCUCGAUCCGUUUUAACAUUGAACGCGUAGCCGUGCACUAGAAGUGAUUGAUGUACGCCGUUUGAGUGAAUUCGCAACGUACCUUUAUAACGUUGUUGAUUGUUAAAUAAAAUACCUGAAACGAAUCGUUUCACUGUGGUUCGGAGUUUAGUUCGCAGAUAGAUUUUGAACUUAUGCAUUACAAAUGUAUUAUUGUUUCUAGUAUUCAGAAUUGCGUGGUGUUCAAGCGUGAUUCUCAUGGUUCAAGGCGAAAGAAAAUUUUUCUAUAAUCUACAGUCUGUGAGAAAAAAUUUCUGCGUGUUGGGAAUUAAUGAUUUCAGUGCUGACUGAACUGAAAAGGUAUAAUGGAAGACCUGCUUUUUACUAAUAUGUUUACAUCGCAUUGCAUUUAUAUUAUAAAUCAUGAACACUCUAUUA